This 477-nucleotide ribosomal RNA is filed under the name uncultured bacterium. RNAcentral's name for it is "partial 16S ribosomal RNA". It matches the Rfam family "Bacterial small subunit ribosomal RNA", at positions 28 to 507 of the family's 1533-position model. The record is from RNAcentral.
GAUUAACGCUGGCGGCGUGCAUAACACAUGCAAGUCGAACGAUGAAACUUUAAUGAACCCUUCGGGGAGAAUUAAAGCGGCUUAGUGGCGAACGGGUGAGUAACGCGUGAGUAACCUGCCUUACACAAGGGGAUAGCCUUUGGAAACGAAGAAUAAUACCCUAUAACACCAUACAAGCACAUGCAAUUAUGGUCAAAGUGAUAGCGGUGUAAGAUGGACUUGCGUCUGAUUAGCUAGUUGGUGAGAUAAAAGCCCACCAAGGCAACGAUCAGUAGCCGGCUUGAGAGAGUGUACGGCCACAUUGGGACUGAGACACGGCCCAGACUCCUACGGGAGGCAGCAGUGGGGAAUUUUGCACAAUGGGGGAAACCCUGAUGCAGCGACGCCGCGUGAUUUAGAAGGCCUUCGGGUUGUAAUAAGCUUUUGUAUAGGAAGAAAAUGACAGUACUAUACGAAUAAGGUCCGGCUAAUUACGUG